GUCCUUGUAACUCAGUAGGAUAGAGUAACGACCUCCUAAGUCGUAAGUCGGUGGUUCGAAUCCACUCAAGGACGCCA
This 77-nucleotide transfer RNA is filed under the name Bacillota bacterium. RNAcentral describes it as "tRNA-Arg". It matches the Rfam family "tRNA". From Rfam's summary of the family: Transfer RNA (tRNA) molecules are approximately 80 nucleotides in length. Lineage: Bacteria; Bacillati; Bacillota. RNAcentral also lists the same sequence under 1 other name. The record is from RNAcentral.